RNAcentral lists this transfer RNA (82 nucleotides) under Centruroides sculpturatus (bark scorpion). Its description in RNAcentral is "tRNA-Ser". It matches the Rfam family "tRNA". Rfam says of the family: Transfer RNA (tRNA) molecules are approximately 80 nucleotides in length. Their secondary structure includes four short double-helical elements and three loops (D, anti-codon, and T loops). The record is from RNAcentral. Lineage: Eukaryota; Metazoa; Arthropoda; Arachnida; Scorpiones; Buthidae.
GAGGAGGUGGCCGAGCGGUUAAGGCGAUGGACUGCUAAUCCAUUGGAUUUUAUCCGCGUGGAUUCGAAUCCCACCCUCGUAG